Molecule: unclassified non-coding RNA, 8423 nt
Filed under: Daphnia pulicaria
Lineage: Eukaryota; Metazoa; Arthropoda; Branchiopoda; Diplostraca; Daphniidae
Description: serine-rich adhesin for platelets-like, transcript variant X1
Source: RNAcentral
CGUCCGAUCCGAGUCAGUUGCAGUCGAGAGUCGAGUCACGACCGUCCCACCUACCCCGGCCAACGUGAACCGGUGCGGGACAAAAACAACAGGAACGAACGAGAACGAAAGUGGUGGUGGGGGCAAACCAAGUCUUGGAAAUAACUUUCAAGCCAUUUUUAUCUUUUGGUUUCAAAAAUUCCCAAAAAGUUGAACGCAAUCUCGCCACGCUCGAUGCAACAACCAUCUUUUUCACAACGGGCCUUGUUGGAAAACUGAAGAGGAUUACCUUUUUUUUUCUGUUACCUCGUGGUUUUUAGUGUGUUGUGAGUGAGUUUUUAAAUCAUCUACAACCGUCUAGAUACAAUCAACGUCAUCGGUUUUUUAGUGUGUGUGUGUGAGUGACAGCAACAGCAGCCGAGCCCCAAACAGCGGAAGAGCCACGCCGGAGUGCCUACCAUGCGCCAUGACGGCGAUCGAUGCGAGCGUUUCGGAACUGUCGUCAUCGCUGGUUGUCAGACGUCCUCUGUCGAUGUUGCUCCCGCCUUCGCCUUCAUCCGAAUUCGCCCUGUUCGCCUCAUCGUCCAGUAGCGGCGGACCAAAUGUCGCCAACGCAUCACCCGGAACUGGAACGGCCAGCAGCGGGGUAGUCGUUUUACCUACCGAAUUGCUUUUAUCAUCGCCUUCAGGGCCGUCAACCGAAUCGUCGUCCCUUCAGCUGGUCGGAUGUUAUGGCGACAAUUCGACCAAUAAUUCAUCGGAUGACAGGAGGCAGUUGGUGACGAUUGGCGGUGUAGUAGGAGACAUUAGCCGAUGUAGUAGCACCGGGAGUAAUAACAAUUGGCUGGCCGAUUUGAGCGUUGAAGUAUGUAAAGUGGAAACAAUCGAAGAGGAUGGAAGCGACAACAGUGGCGGAGGUGGUGGGGGCGGUGGUGAAGGCGGAGGCGAUUGCGGUGGCGGCAGUGACGACUGGGACGAGUCCGUCUUUUUCGAAGCUGCAGCUGCCGCCGCCGCCAGUUGCUGCGCCACUGGACAGUCCAGUCAUCAUCUACACCAUCACAACCACCAUCAUCACCAUCAGCAUGACGUUACCAACAACCUGGACGUCCUCCUGGGCAACCCCAAUCUUCACCAUUCGAGCGGAGGUGCUGAUCUGCUGGAACUGGAUGUCCAAAGCUGCUGUACAGUCGAUUUCCCAUUGUCGCCUAAACAGCUCCUACUGGGCGGCUCAUCCAACAGCCGGAGUAGUAGUAGCAGCAGCAGCAGCAGCAGCAGUAGUAGCAGUAGCAGCAGUAAUAGCAAUAGCAGCUGCUGCCCCGAAGACGGGCAACUUAUUGCCGGCGCCGGAUUGUUGUCGUCUCCUCCGUCGACGCCGUCGCCUUCAUCUUCAGGCGGUUCAACACGACAACUGCAGCAACAGCAGCAGCCGUUGCCGCAACCGCCGCAGCCCUGCUCAGUAAGUGACAAAAUGUGUAGUAAAGUGUUUACGAGCACGUCGGCCCUUGCCAAACACAAACUGACGCACAGCGACGAGCGAAGAUUUUCCUGUCAGUUGUGCGGCAAAGCUUUCAAACGCCAGGAUCAUUUGAAUGGACAUUUGAUAACUCACCGGGAAAAGAAGCCGUUUGAAUGCCGGGCUGAUGGAUGCGGUAAAUCGUAUUGCGAUGCCCGGUCACUACGUCGCCAUCAGGAUAACCAUCACGCACUGCCCGGAAGUUUGGCCCUAGCCGGAACGACCCAGCAGCCGCCGUUGAGUCCGUCGCUGAAUGGACUGGGCUCUUCGUUGCCGUCGAGGUCGACAUCGUCGGCCUCCUCCAACGCCGGAUUGUUUAUCAGCGAAUUGAGCGGCGGAUCGCCGGAUCUCGUCCUGCCUUCUCAUUCCGUCGGAUCGUCGCAACAUUAUCCGGCGCCCAACAGCAACAGCAAUUCGACGACAUCCAACGGAGGUAGUGGCCAUUUCCAGUCGACUGAGAACGGCCAACAAUUCGGCGGAUGGGCCGUGACGACCACCAACGGCACCACCGCCUCGUCAGGUGGUCACGAGUCUGUCGUUUCGCUGGAUUCGUGCAGCAUCCAGUACGGUGGUGCUUCCGGAACCAGCAAUGGCGGCGGCGGCGGCUACCAGUCAGUUUCUUCGUGCCCAGCUGAGAACCAAGAAGCUCACCAGCAGGUCACCUGGACUUCGGUGCCGGCAGAAAGCGUGUCGCCGUCGAAAGGCGGUGGCAAGAAGCCAGCGAAUUCCGCCGGAAUUAAAAUGGCCGACAGACAGAAUAAGGUCGAAUCAACUGGUAACAACAGCAACAAAAUUCCGUCUACCUCCACGCCAGCCACCGCCGCUGCUGCCGUUGUCAAAGCGACGAAAAAAGCCAAAGGAUCCAGUCUCGGCAACAAAGUCCAGCACGCCCAGAAUGGCAAGGUCGGUGGAGUGGCAAAGAAUAAUAAUGGCAAUUCCAAGAAAAUCGCGGCAGAUUCCAGCAUUGGCGCCAAUAACGACGGCCUGACGACCCAGCAAUUGGAAUUGAUCCAGGAAAUUAUGCGACAGACCCAGGAGCAGCACAGGUUGAUGCAGGAAGAGCAGCAGCAGCAGCAGCAGCACAUCCAGCAGCACAACAAGUCUGCGCAACCGUCGCAUCACUCUUCCGGAGGCCAGGCCACAACCAAAGCCAAAAAGGCCAACAACAAGGUCAAAUGGACGGCUCCUGCGGCGUCGACAACGACCGGCGAUCCGAAUCCAUCGACCGGUCAACCAUCGACGGCGACCUCAACGAAUUCCUCCGGCCCUGGAGCGGAUGGGACUGGAGCCAACGGAGGGGUUUCUGGCCGGCCGGUCGAAUGCAACGUGUGCCAGCGGCGUUUCAAAAACACGCCGGCCCUUAAUGGCCACAUGCGCCUGCACGGCGGUUUCCUCAAGAAAGAGGCCGAAUGCGGCGGAUCCAGCGGGUCGGGAAACGGAUCCGGCGGCGGGAGUGGCGGCGGCAACUCGGGCGGCGGAGGCGGAGGAAGCGGCGGAGGUGGAAGUAGCAAAAAGCCGGGCGAGAGUAAAAAAGAUCCCAACACGCCUCCGCUUUUGACGGCUUCUGUCUCGGUGCGGGCCCUCAUCGAAGAGAAAAUCAUCCAGCGCCGGAAUAAUAUGGCGGCCAACAAUUCUUCAACGAUUUUGACGGGUUCUUCUUCAGGUUCUUCAGGUCCUUCAGGUACUUCGGUGUCUGCAGCCACGGCGACGACGUCGUCGUCGGCGUCAUCCGCCGCCAGUUCUGUUGUUGGCGUUGUCCAACAACAAGAACAACAUUCUCAUGCCUUACCAAUCUCAGUUCAACCGGUCAGUCAACCGGAAGCGCCUGUUAUGUUGAUGGACGUCCUAGAAGAGGAUCAAAGAGACUCGAUGGAAGCUCAGUCGCAGCAGCCGCUCAUUCCCAAAUUAGAGCCGGAAGGUUAUUUCGAAGGAUCACUAUUGGCUCUCAGCCCAGUCAGCCUUCACAGAGCCUUGGAGGGUGAUAUGGAUGCAUUACCUGAUGGCGAUCCGGCAAGUAACGAAGGCGGAGUCGCUUCCGGAUUGCAUAACUUGCACCACCAUCAUCACCACCACCACCACAGCAACAACCACCACGGUGAAAACUUUUUCUCGACGUCAUCGUCGUCGUCCUCUGCGCUGAGUGACGUCCCGUUGCUGGACGAUUCCGUUUUCCACCAGGUUUCGGCAGCCGCAGCUUCCGCCCUGUUAUCCGACAUUAGCAGCCUGGACCUACAGUCGUACAUGGACACGGCCAACAGCGGCGGAAGUCACCACCACCACCAGCAACAGCACGGCCAGAAUGGCGUGGGCCAGUACUCUGAUUUGUCGCAAUAUCUGGCCAGCAGCGCCGGAGAUCACGUCGUCAACGACUCGGUCGUUGUGGACUCGGGGAUUUACGGACACGACCCGGUAGGCCCGAACGGCGGCUUCCAGCACCAACACGACGGCGGCUAUGUGUCGUACCACCACCAGCACGAGACGAGCGUUGGAGUCGUUGCCGGAUUGGUGGGCGCCGGAUUCGGUUUCGAGCCGUCGCCUUCGACUCCGCUGUCGUCGCUCUGCUCUCCACAGCAUUACAUCCAGCACCAGUAUCAGCAACACGCCCACCAGCCGGAUUACACGCACAACAGCAACAGCGUCGACACUUGUUCCGGCGGCGGAGGAGGAUACCAAUCCAUGUUGAUGCAAGGCGUUGACGCGUCACCUUACACCCCGUCUCCGUCUCCGGUCAGUCCGUCGGUCUCUUCUCUUCCGCACUUGCAGCGCUUCCAGCCGCAGCAGCAGCAGCAGGACGCUGUGGGAUUCUAUUCCACUUCGAGUUUCUCGAGCGGAUCGAGCCACAACCAGAGCAAUUUCAUGAUCGACUGCGCCAACAGCGUCUUGUACAACAUGGAGACGAGCGGAGGCGGCGGAGGUGGAUGGGACCAUGCGGCCGAUUUGACCACCGUCGCCACGGACGCCCUGCCGCAGCUGAUGGAACAGGACCAGCCGCCGGAUCAGUUGGAUCACCAUCACCACCAUCAGCAGCAGCAGCCGCAGCUUCCGCAGUCGUCUCCCGUUUUGCUCAAGCCCGUCAAAGUCAAGAAAAGUCGGCCGUCGAGAGCCAAAAAGGCCAACGACAACGAAGCGGGCGACGUCAAGCGGCGCAAAACGAUGGCCGGCAAGAAAUGUAACAAGCGCCAAGGCGACGAGAUGGACGACGUCUUGAUGCUGGGCAAAGGCAACGGCUGUCAAUUCGUCAGCGCCAUGAACUUGACGUCGUCGUCGUCGCCGGCCACCACCACCCGCCACAACCUCAUGUUGAAUCCUAAACGAAACGGGGCUGGACUUUAUUGGAAUCUAGUCAGGGACAAAUUGGUGAGUCCGCCACAAGUUCCGCUUUCCAGCUCUAUGGCGACGAGCUCAACGUCCCGUCAAAAGAGCCGCGUCCGCAUCGGCAAGGAUCACCAGUGCGCGGCGUUGCCGCGUUGCAAGAAGAAAGAGGCCAACAAGGAACGCGAAUCGGCCGUCCUUUGCUGGAGCGCCAGCAACGGACAACAGGUGACGGAGCAGCAGAUUGGCCGGCUGCUGGCCUGGUCUCGCUCUCCCGCUCUGCCUGGACCCAAGCGGACCGAGGAGGAGGUCCUGGCCGUCGUGACCCACUUUCACGGCGACAUCCAAGCCGCCAAAUUGCACUUGCUUACCCAACCGGCCAACGCCAGUCAUAACGUCCUCAAUAACUGGACGCCGGAAGAGAUGGCCGUCUUUCACGCCGCUUUGCUCCAGCACGGCAAAGAUUUCCCCCAAGUUGCUCAACAUUUACCAUCGAAAACGGCCAGCCAGUGCAUCCAAUUCUAUUACCUCUGGAAGAAAAUCUGCCGGCCUCAGGAAUACGCCUCGAUUAAGCGAUCCAUCCCGAUCGGCGGACCUUCUGCCGCCCCCCAAUCUUGUAGCCCUAGUCUGAUGGACGAGACGAGUCUGUGCGACUGGCGUGACGUUGGAUGCAGCGAAAGUGAUCUGAUUAGUCUGACGCAAGCAUCCGCCGUCGUGUCGCAGGAUUGUUCGACAUCUUCUUCGCCCUCCUCUUCUUCGCUGUUGCUGCUCUCCCCCUGUGAGUUUGCCGACUGCCAUGCGAUUUCCAGUAAUGGAGCGACUCCGCGACGUUAUCAAGGCAACCAAGCCAAUCCGUCGCCUUCCGUCUCCCUUGCCGACAAGUUGUACCCGUGCUCAGUCUGUCACAAGGUGUUUGACAAAGUCAAGAGCCGGAGCGCCCAUAUGAAGACGCACAAAUCGGCCUCAACAGCGGCGGCAGCGGCGGCUGCAUUAGCUGCUGCCGCCAAUUCUUCUUCUUCUUCCACGGCGGCCAAUGGACAAGACAGUUGCUCAUCGCUUGUGGGCAAUAAAAACCGCAAGAGUCACCACCACCAUCACGUUCAUCAUCACAAAUCGCCAUCAAUGGCGGGGGGAGGAGGAACUCCGACCUCGCCCGUCUCCUCCUCCUGCUCGCUUCCGUCGCCCUUUCUGCCAUCGCAGAGUCUUUUUUGAAUCGUCUUGUGCGCUUGGAAACAAACAAGCCGCGGACCAAAACAGCAACCCCCCCAAAGAAGACGAAAAAUCAAAUCAAUCGAUUGAUUCAAAUUUUUAUGUAAAUCACUCCCUCCCCCCCACCUCCCAUAAAAGUCAGCUUCCCUCUUAAUCAGAAGCUCAAAAACUUUCAACCUUUUUUCCUCUCUCUCUCUAUCUCGUUCUUUUCUUCAUUUUAGGAUGUUUGUCGUCUUUAAAGUUAAACAUGUAAUGCUGUUACGAGAUAUGUGUCUAAGUUUUUCACCAAGUUCCGCGACGAAACGGGCAGUGCCUUUUUCAGUUUCAAAGGGGUUGGACCCUCCCUCAACCACACCCACCCAAAUCUCUCCCUCGUCACACAAAAGAAGAAGAUGAUGAAAAACCGAAAAAAUUGUCAUUUUCGUUUUUCUGAUAAUGUUUUAUCGUUGUUGUUAUAUCCCUCCCUCCCUUCAUUUUUUUUUUUUUUUUCGGUUUGGCUUUCGACAUUCAAUCUUAAAAUUAUUAUUCGGCGUGUGAUCCUUGUUCGAUUUAAGCAGAAAAAUUUACUCCCCAUACUUUUUUUUAAAUGUUAUAUAAUAUAUAUAAUAUGCAGUAAAUAACUAUUUCACGCUAUAGAUCCCUUGCUGGUUGGGAGGCGAUUGUAGGCUAAGACACCUUUUGUUUUCUUAUUUUCCGCGUGCGUGUGUGAUUGUGUGUUUUAUUUCGCUUUGUUUUCUUUUUUUUCAAAAGGGGCACACAGCGUUUCGCCUGUGCGUGUGCAAUCAAUAUCUAUAUGUGCCCACUCUCUCACCUUUUCUCCGGCAAGGACAAAAUCCCAAUAAUCGAUUCAGUGCUCAUCAGCAAAUCAGCCAUACAAUUUUGAUAGUUUUUGUUUUGUUUUUUCCAAAUAAUCAUUAACCCUCUACCGAUUUAUUUUUAUUUUUGUUUUUUCAAUGAAAUCUUUCGUGUGUGAACGUGAAUGCCUCCACUCAAACCUUGAAAUUGAAAGUAUGUUGCAGCAAUAGUGUGCCCCCGACAACUUGGACAAGUUGUUGUUGUUCUUUCUCAACGCCAGUCACCACCACAGUCAAACAAAUAAGGAAGCAAAAAGGAAUUUAACCGCCGCGUGCAAGGCCAACUGAUAUAUACAUAAGUACCCCUUAUUGACAUUAUUUUAUUAUUAAUUAUAUAUAUCCCAACGUGUUUGUUUUUUUAAAUGCCCGGUUAUUUCCCUCUCGAAUUUGAAAAUUCGAUAAUAAUUCAACAGGCCAAUCUUGAAAGAAAUUGUUUGUAGCCUGGCCAUUGUAGGAUUGAUACCAGAAUUGAAAUUCGUUGAAAUUAUUUUAUAUUCUUGCAUUGAGGGGCGGCAUUUUGUUUGACGUGAAGUGUGUGGCGUGAGAAAAUCCCCUUGACGUCAAGAAAAAAACCCAAACAGGAAUUUUUUAAGGAACACAAAUUAACAAAACAAUCGUAGGGACGAGCUGGAGGGAUUUUUUGAUCGAAGGAAACAAAUUAAGAAAAGAUCCCCGUGACCAAUAAAUUCAAUAAUUAAAUUGCUUGUUUUUUAAAUAAUAAUAAUAAUAAUAAUAAUAUAUUUUAUGUAACAAUUCUAUUUCAAUCCGAUUAUGAUUGGCACUCAACUAACUCUAAAUCGAAACAAAUUUUGACGCAUUUUGUUUUAUUUUUUUAUCCGUUUUCGUUGGUUUGAUUGUUGAUUUUUCUCACCAAUUUUUUUAAAAAACAAAAUUUUUCUUACCUCGAUGGGCGGAUGAAGACUUUUUGUUCAAUUUGACGACAUUCGCACAAAUUAAACUUGUCAGCCUGUGGCCAUGAAAGAGAAGAAAACAAAAACCAGCACGAAGAAAUAACAAUAAGAAUUAAUGCUAAUUAAUAAUACUAUGAGUAAUAAUUAUUGAUUAAGACAAAAAAAAAAGGAUCGUGAAAUAUUUCCGAUCCUUUUUUUUUGCAAUUAUUAUAUCACCCGUUUGAAACACCUGAAUUGUUUGAUAUAUUUUAGGGAAAAAAUCUUUACCUUUUUAUUUUUUCUUUCUGCGUGAGCGUGUGCGUGUUAGCCUCAAGUUCGUUUUUAUCACCCACACAUCAUAAAAAGUUAUUAUUAAAAAUAUUAUUCACUAUUUUUCUCUCUCUCUCUCUCUCCCUUGCGUGUGAAUUCUUUUUUUUUUCUUUACCGGACAGAGCUUAAGAGCGUGUGCCAUGUAGAUAGUGUACAGCAAAAAAAAAAGAAAGUGGUGUGAAAUUUUUGCGAUUACUCUCCUAUAAUUACACCCAGACGCCACAUCAUGCAAGUUUGCAUUUAAUCACCGAAAACCUACCCACCCAAAAUCUAAUUAAUAAUUAAAAGAAAAAACAGCUGAUUAUUUCUAGUUGACAAAAUAUUUGUAUGCAAAAA